AGAGUGGGGAUUCAGGAGAGGUGGGCCUCCUUCCUCGAGAAAGGCAAAUCGCCUUUUACUGACAGCGUCCCGGUGAAGGAGGCUGCCCGAAUCCACAGGCUGUAUGGACCAUCCCUCCGCAACCUUCCACAGAAAGCCUGACUCUUGUCUACCAGGCUUGCAUAAGGAGAGGCAGGUUCUUUACCACUAGCACCACCGGGUUCCAACUGCAAGAGUCCUGCAGAAAAGGACGAGCAGCAUGGCCUUUUAUGACACAACCGUGGAGGCCUCAGAGUGGCACUUCUGUUGCAUGUGAUUGGCCAAAGCAGCCCUGAGCCUGACACAGAUGAAAGGUGCAGCAGACAACUCAGAAGAAAUUUAGUUCAGUUGAUCAGUCGUGUCCGACUCUUUGCGGCCCCAUGGACUACAGCACGCCCGGCUUCCCUGUCCAUCUCCAACUCUCGGAGCUUGCUCAAACUCAUGCCCAUUGAGUCAGUGAUGCCAUCCAACCAUCUCAUCUUCGGUCAUCCCCUUCUCCUCCCACCUUCAAUCUUUCCCAGCAUCAAGGUCUUUUCCAAUGAGUCGGUUCUUCGCAUCAGGUGGCCAAAGUAUUGGAGUUUCAGCUUCAGCAUUAAUCCUUCCAAUGAAUAUUCAGGACUGAUUUUCUUUUGGUGUGUUUACUGGUUUAGAAUUUGGAGUUAGGGAGCAUAACACAUGUUAUGUGUGCCUGCAAAGCCCUGUGUACCCUGAAGCCAAAUGGUGGAAUCCGGAGUCCUGGCUGCUCUGAGAAUUUUCCUGCAUUUUGGAAUGCGUAGGGCUUCCCAGGUGACAGUAGUGGUAAAGAACCCACCUGCCAAUGCAGGAGAAAUAAGAGACGAGGGUUCAAUCCCUGGGUUGGGAAGAUACCCUGCAGGAGGGCAGGGCAACCCACUCUAGUAUUCUUGCCAGGAAAAUCCCAUGGACAUAGGAACCUGGCAGGCUACAAUCCAUAGUGAAAGUGAAGUUGCUCAGUCCAACUCUUUGCGACCCCAUAGACUGUAGGAUACCAGGCUCCUCUGUCCGUGGGAUUUUCCAGGCAAUAGUACUGGAGUGGAUUGCCAUUUCCUUCUCCAGGUGAUCUUCCCAACCCAGGGUUCGAACCUGGGUCUCCUGCAUUGUAGACAGAAGCUUUACUGUCUGAGCUACCAGGGAAGUCAAUAGGGUCAAUCCAUAGGGUCACAAAGAGUCUAACACAACUAAACAACUGAGCACGCAUGCAAAAAGCACUCAGAACCUUGCUAAUGCUGUUGCCAGGCACCUACCUGGGCAUGAAUGAAAAUGAGUCAAGCCUGAGCUCAUCAGUAGCCUAACUUUAUCCCCCAAAAUCAAUACAGAUUUCCCCAUAUUACGUAACGCAAUAUGUGCUUUCCUGAGAAGGUGGAGGUAAAUCAAUUUCUUUUCCCCCG
Long non-coding RNA from Bos taurus (domestic cattle), 1424 nucleotides. Lineage: Eukaryota; Metazoa; Chordata; Mammalia; Artiodactyla; Bovidae. The record is from Ensembl.